RNAcentral lists this ribosomal RNA (440 nucleotides) under uncultured bacterium. Its description in RNAcentral is "partial 16S ribosomal RNA". It matches the Rfam family "Bacterial small subunit ribosomal RNA", at positions 338 to 795 of the family's 1533-position model. The record is from RNAcentral.
CCUACGGGAGGCAGCAGUGGGGAAUAUUGCACAAUGGGGGAAACCCUGAUGCAGCGACGCCGCGUGAGUGAAGAAGUAUUUCGGUACGUAAAGCUCUAUCAGCAGGGAAGAAAAUGACGGUACCUGACUAAGAAGCCCCGGCUAACUACGUGCCAGCAGCCGCGGUAAUACGUAGGGGGCAAGCGUUAUCCGGAUUUACUGGGUGUAAAGGGAGCGUAGACGGCAGCGCAAGUCUGGAGUGAAAUCCCAUGGCUUAACCAUGGAACUGCUUUGGAAACUGUGCAGCUAGAGUGCAGGAGAGGUAAGCGGAAUUCCUAGUGUAGCGGUGAAAUGCGUAGAUAUUAGGAGGGACACCAGUGGCGAAGGCGGCUUACUGGACUGUAACUGACGUUGAGGCUCGAAAGCGUGGGGAGCAAACAGGAUUAGAUACCCCGGUAGUC